GGUGGACGUAGCCUCACGGUGCAGCAGGUGAAACAGUGCGUGUUUGUAGUUUCAUGUUUGUAGUCUACAACACUGAGAAGUUUGUGAACCACAGUAGACUGUCAGCAGGGAUUAGGACGCCCAGGAAAAAGAAGUGCAUGAAUAUGAUGUGAAGUGCAUGUUGAGUCACAGUCUUAGUUUUCCUCCUAGUAUGGACUUUAUCUAACUAUCCAGCACCACUUGUGUGACCUGCUUGGCUGCAUAGCUUUGACUGUAAGUAUUUGGCUUCUUCUUUAUACGAAUGUGUUGUGUAUACUCAUCUUAAAGGAAUAUUCUGGGGUAAAAUUACAUUAGGGUCAAAAACACCAUAACACCAAGUUAGACACCCCCUUGAGAGAUGAAUGUUGCCGACCACUUGCUUCUCUAGUUAUACCAACUUUAGAAACGACUGCUGGAUAGCAAUGCACAGCGGUCUGAGGAGCCAUAAACAAACCUCAACCAAAAAGCCACUCUAUAGUCACAAAUAAUGCUCAGAACAGCACCUAACUUUAAAACCUAACACCAGAAAGCCUUUACUUUUAGAAAGUAACUGUGUGUCAUUUUGAGACUUGUGAAUUAGGCUACUCCUAAAGUUUUGGUGAACUUUUUCAGUUUUGGAUGUUUGAAUUUUCUCCAAUAGGCUGCAACUUGAGUCAAAAGAGAAAAUGUUUAAACAAAAACAACACAGUUAAAUGCGCAGUAAACAGGAGAUUUAAAUUGGCUGUGGAAGUACAGAAAUACAAUCUGGUGCCUUUGUAAGACCUCCAAGAAGUAAGCUACCAAUGCUUGGAAAGUUUUCUACCUCUCUGAUAACUUUGAUGCCUGGAGGAGCUGCCACAGAGUGGCAUGGUUAGAAUGAUAAACAGCAUGAGAAAGGCAAAAAGCCUUUGUUUAGGUUUUUGACAGAAACUUUGCUUGUAGAAAGGGUGGUUCAAUAUCAAUCAAUCAAUCAAUUAAUCUUCAUGUAAAAUAUAAUAGUAUAAUUUUUGAUAGAAUUAUAAUCUGUAAUCUGAAAUGUGCCACGAGUAUGUUUAAAAAAAAACUGAACUUUUGCAUUGGAUUUCAGACUGUAUGACUGUGUUCUUGCAGAGCUAACAGGCUGAAGAUUUUUCCCACAAUUCAGUUGCCCAUUUGAUUGUCUGGUGCGAUCCUGUGAUGGAAAAGUAGUGGAAAACACCUCACAGCUACUUAUGGAGGCUAUCCCAGUAAAGUUAUACUGUAAAACAUUUUAUGAACAUAAUUUUCCAAUUUAUCAGUUUGAAAUUAGAUACAGUCAGAUUAGUUAGUUAAUGAGUCAAAUUGGCCAUGGGUGGAAUCUGUGAUUUUAUAUAUCCAUACAGAAAUAUGCGUCCAUACAUUGGAGACAAGAGGCGUCUUCCAUUUAUUGGAUGUACAUAAAUGGAAAUGAGGUAUCAGGGUUUGCACUAAACCUGCAGUUUGAAAUGGGCUCUAGAUCUGCACUAUAUAGUAUUACUAUUUACAUAAAUCUAUCAUGAGCAACACUGGCAACUUACAGCGAUAAGGAUAACUCAUAUUGAACAGGCAGAAACCUCGAACAAAACCAGACUUGAGUUAAACAGCCUUCUGCUGGGACUAUAUUUGAUAAAGAUCGAGGUAGAGACGGACGGUCAAUAAAACACACACUAACAAAUGCAUGAAGUCAAUUCACAGCAUUUAUCACUGAUACAGAUUAGACAUGAAUCUCCAGUGGAAUGAAAAUGUUCUUUUGGAUACACUCAGUGAAGCAGCUCCAUCCCUCUCCCAAACUCCUCCAUCUACUCCUUUCAUCUCAUUACUCUAUUUCCCUCCUCUUCUGUCUUUCCUGUCCACCCCUCAUGGACCUCCUCCCCCCUUGCAGUCAUGACUAUAUCUGCUUUUCAAACCCCUAUACAUCUCUUUCAGCUUUUGUCUGUAAAUCCUUAUUGCAUUAUUCCCUGCUCUCCCUUCUUCUGUUCUGACUCUGUCUCUCGGCCAUCUCAUAUCCCUGUCUCUCCCUGUUUGGAUUCUGCAGCAUAAGGCAUGAAACUCUCCUCUGCCCCCUUCAUUCCUCUCCUCCCUCUUCAAGCCUUCCCUUUCCCUGGCUGUCCAAUCUCAAAUCCCUCUUGCCGCCUGCCUUUCGUCUCUCUCCCUCUCUCUCUCCCUGUCCUCUUUCCCCAGCCAGAGGUUAAUACACUCCAGGAUGGCAUUAUUUCCUCCCCGGCCCUCUGACAAUAUAAAAAUUCAGAAUGGACAGCUCAAUCCCUCUUCCAUCUCAGAUUUGAUUGUAAUGGUAUUGCCUCCUGUCCCUGGGAGGCCCCUGCCGCCUCGCCACCUCGGCCUUUAUGACACUAAAUGGCCAGGCUACAAUUUUUCCAUCUAUUCAAAAAAUUCUGUUAAUAACUCAUUUGGAAUGAGACGUCUGCGGCCAGGUCUCUCACCCCUCUGCUUAUAGGGGUCACAAUAUACAGAGAAAGAUGCAGGGCUGAAUCGCAAAUGUAAAAGGCUAAUUAAUCUCCCUGAAUUUACAAUCCCUUUUCCCCCCAUUCCCUUUGCACUCCAAUUGACAGUCCCAAAGAGACAAAAAUGUCAUAUUUACAACCUGGCAUGGAGAAAGUGCUCAGCAAUGCACAGCAGUGUGAGCGCGAGCCGGUCUGACCACUUUCUCUGCUCCACCGUCCAACUUUACAAGUGUACCCAUUCAUCACGGCUGAUGGAUUUAUGUAAUAAAACCCAUUUCCUUCUCCCAUACGAUCCUAUUAAAUAAUAAAAUAAUUAUUUAUUGAUUAUUCAAAAAGGUACAUAUGCGCGGGUAAUGGCUUUGUAUCACACCACUGGACCCGCAAUAAAUAAAGAAGGCAGAGGGAAGGCUGGAGCGCGACAGAGAGGAAUAAAGCAGGGAGAGGGAGAGGGUGGGAGAGAGAAGAGGGGAGAAAUGAAGGGGAAUGAAAUGACUUUUGAACCAGUGAAAUCUGGAUCCAAUAUGGCCUCUUGCAGAGCGGAUCAGGAAGGACAUUAUUCAAUCUUCAGGAGGCUCAUAUGGGAGCGCGACCUAUGAAUGGUUUUGAUAUACUAUAUGGACCGUAGAAAUUAAAAUAGACAACUGAAUGAGUGCUUAAGUGGAGCUUUUAGUCUAAUCUUUUCAAAUGUGCUGAGCUAGAAAUAGACAACAAUAUCUAUUUUUGACAGAGUAGUUUUUAUGUCUGUUAGAUAGGGUCAAAAUCUGCUGUUGAGUUUGGAGAGUCAGCCAAGAAAAUACCUCUUAAACAUUAUCGCAUAAUAUGACUUAUUAAAAGAUUUUUGCCCGCUAUUCCCUCCUUACUUUACCCCACUCAGGAAAGACCAUUAAUACUGAAUUUAAACAUUUACAGAGAUUGAAAGUGUUUGUGUUGGAGCUUUUUGUAGAGCAAGGCUUUUGGGUGUUUAGCAAACUGACCAGGAAGGUAAAAGUGAUCGCUGUUUUUCUUUUUAACUGUUUUUCUAAAAGACACAGCUCCACACAUAUGUAAACACCCACUCCCUUUUAGUAAUCCUUCAUAUUAUUUAUUCAACUUCAGUAUCGGAAGACGCCCCCUAUCCCCAGCAGUGAAUCAUUAUAAAAGAAGACACUUUAAUGUCAGCCAGAUAUUACAUUGGGGGCUUCUUAAUAAGCCAUUUGUGUUUGGACUAUCCUGGGCUAAAGUGCACCCGCUCUCCGUUGUCUUUUUCCUGGGCUUGUCUCAAGCCUCCUGCAUGCUACGAAAAACAGAUGCUAUCUCAGCUAUAUUACUUCUCAAAGCGCUCAUAUCCUCUCCCAUGUUAUUUUCUUUGAUCUGCUAGGCUCUCUGCUCUUACAUUUUUCUUUCCCCCCUCGUCUCACGCCCUCCUCCUCCUCCUCCACCUCCACCCCAAUCCCUCCACCCCCAUCCUCCAUGCUUCAUCCUCUAUCCUCUUUGCCAGUGACCAGAGACACAGCAGCCAGACUGGCUUGGGUUGGCUGUGGACGUUUGAAAUUCACUUCAUCUGUUCCCUGUCAUCAGAGGGCACAGGGUGCACGGUGGGUUGGACUUUUUAGAUUCUCCAUUUAAUAUGCCUUGACCAUCAGAGGAGGCUUCAGAGGAGGGCUCAUAUCAGGGCCGGGGUCAUUUCACAUCCAGUGAACAGGCCGUUUAAAUCAGCGACUUAAGCUGCAGCCUUCAUACUAAACACUUUUUUACUUAUUGACAGCAGUUCUUGCAUAAGCUCUUAAUUAUAAGUGAGUCAAUCCUGGGCUAUGUGCUUUAUUUAAACAAUGAAAAAAGUUUAUUUACAUCAGUUAAUCAAAUUAAAGCAUUUGUUUUUAGAACUCUGGUGGUUUCAGGAGUUUUUGUGAAAUACUAGGGCUUUUAAUUGUUUUUUUUUUUCACAUUUCUGAUUAAUUACAGAACUAAAGUAGUUUAUGUCGAUUAUUUGCAUUUUUAAAACUGCAUUGUCAUGCGUUUAAAUAGAGUUUCUAAACUGCACACCAUUUAAAAAUAAAGUUUUUAAUCUGACACAUGCAAUAGGAUGUAUUUAGUGAUUUUGACUUACAGAUUUAAUAUUUAAAAAUGUAAAAUUAGUGUUAAUGUGAUUUGCAGUUUAACUCUGUUAAUAAUAAUAUAACUGUCAUUACUCUGAGUAUUAAUUAUAGCAUUUGCACUCUUUUUGGAGUGUAACUGUAUUUACUCUCUUUGUUUCUUUUAUCCCCAUGUCUGUGGUGACUCACGCUCUCAUAUAAAAUGCUCUUUUGUGAUAUCAGUUAGCAUGGUUGCACCUGUAUGCUUAGCUCCUAUUGGCAGGGGGCUCAGACUGGGAGCUUUAAGUCAAUUGUUGUGAUAGUUAAAUUCCAUAUAACUCAAAGGACUUCAGACUCUACUGAGCUGGUUCUUUUAAGUGAAAUGGGUCAUUCAAAAGCACAGUGGUGUUGUGCAGCAGAAAGAUGUUUUGGUGGCCGAAUAAAGUGAAUAAAAAUAUCAACAUACUAAGUAAUUGCAUCAUGAUCAACUAGUAUGUUAAUGCUGACAGCCCUAAAGAUAUAAAAAUCUAAUGGCUCCAUAGAGUUAGUUAGCUUAAGUCAAAUGAUGGUCAAUUACAUUUUUAAAACUGUUUUCUUGUUUGUUUGAAAUUCUAAAGUAAUAAACAAUCAGAAACACAACACAGCAGCCUUUUAAUGCCUUUACCCUCAAUCACCCCAUCUCCCUCUAUGCUUAUCUGUAAGGUUAAAAAAAGUAUUUAACUCAGAAGUGUCUCUGACUGCAUGAGAACUCAGUUUAUUGAAUCAUUUUUAAGAAAGUUCAGAUAAUGGAGCUUAAAGUUGAUUAAAUGUGCAUCACAGCUUUCCCUUUCUAUCAAACUUUAACAAGUAAAUACUUUUUUCCUGCAAGUUUACAGUGCAAGGCAUGAAACUCAAAUUGUCUGUCUGCUCUUUCCUUUUUUUGUGGCAGCAUAAUGGAAACAUGUCUUAACAUUUUUCAGACAUGAACAACAAAUACUGUACCCUAAGUGAUGAAUCAUAGUUUAAUAUAUGCCUCAUAACUGUCAAAAAGCCUGGCAUCAUAAAAGAAAGACACACUUGUAUUUUUUUGUGAUAGAUUACAAGUGUUCAGAUUUUUGCAGACACUGAGCAUGAGCAAAAACUGAACAAAGUUUCAUAAGAAAGACAUUUCUUGUAUGUGGAAAAAUCUAAUUUUGCAGUUUUUACUGCAUAUUUGACACACCACAGUCUUGGCCUGUAUUUGGUUCACUUUCCAUUAGAGUUAGAAGUGUCAUAGAGUACAUUAGUACAUAUAUGUCAAAAUAGGAAUCACUGCAGUGUCAAAAACAGUUCAAACUCUGCAGUGAAAUUGACUCUUUCCUCGAGGUUGUAAAGCUUUUGCAGAUUAAUUCCCAAACUCUCUCAGUUGUGUUAAACUGAUUUUCCUGCACAAAGCCAUUUAAAGCAACAUCUGUGUGGAUAGGUGGCACUUAGAAACCGGGGAGUCUUUAGCUUUCUUAUGAGCAGCCAGGAGGGGGAAGCAUCCCUCUUUGCAAGUGUGCUCACAAGAGAAGGAAAGAAAAGUAAUUAAACAAACAAUUUACAAGGAAUCGUGUGUCUGCGUAUCCAAUCCAGCGUACUCGCUUUUGCUCUAAUACAUAAAGACAGAAAUGAAAAAAAAAAAGAUUGUUUGUUGUCUCCUCAGAGUGAUGGUAAAUGACACGUGUGUUUCAUUGCCCAUUCAUUUAACCUUCAGUGUGCCUAUGAAGAGAAAGGGAUUGAGAAACAAAUUAUGUGGUGUCAUUUAAUUAGGAGUUUUGCUGUGAGCAAUAAUCCUGUAAUUUUUUUUCCUUAUAACCUUUAACUACUUAAUGGAUUUGAGAAGCUAUUACCUUUCAAGAUUUCUGUUUUUAAUUAUUUGGAGUAUUGUUAGAGAUAUGAAAUGUCAAUCAUUCACCAGGAUUAAUGCUGAGGUUUAAUAUUAUUUACUUCGGGAUUGAAGCGAGAGGUUGACAGGAUUAGGGAAAUCACUAAUUUUAAGUAUUUUACAAACAAAAAGAAAAAAAAAUCCUCUUUUUGGCUUAUUUAGCUGAAAAUCAUUUAUCCUUAUGUGCACAUUUAUAUUUAACACAACCUCAUCUUAAAUCCAUGAGAGCCAGUUAUUUACAUAGAUAUUAACAUUAAAUUUAUAUUUAUGGCAAGACACAGUAAAUCUCAGAGUAAUAUUGGAAAAAUGGCUUCCUGAAUCUGUGAUUAAAUUAUAAUAAUGACUCAUUUUUAAUAUGUACAAACUCAAUUUAUAGUUUCCUCCUUUGGCGCUUAUACUGUAGGUGUGCAGCAUAAAAAAAAUAUAUAACCCGGGAGCUGUUCAUGUGUGUGUGUGUGUGUUGCACAGUCGAGGGCUUACCUCUCACCCUGAUCACGUUUAGGCAACUCUGUGAAAGUGGCAGACAGAGUUUGUUUGGUUUCCCCUGGAGGACAUCGCAGCUCUCUGCCAGCAGACCAACCCACGUGCGGUGACAUCAGGCCCGCCUGUGUGGAUACAAAUGUCUCCUUAAAUACAUGAUCCAUGUGAGGUGCGCUUGAUUUAUUUUGCCAGACACUCACAGGACCAUGAGGGCCAUGCGUGCUCAUUUUAAAUCAGUGCUUCUCACACAGGACCCUCCUGCGUACCUGGGUUCAAAUGAUAUAUUUCAUAUUCUGAAGUGGAUCAAAAAACAUUCAUCAGAAACACCUGAUGUAGCUUGUCUAGAGGGGGAUAGUUUCACCAGAGGAUCAGCAAAUGUCUUGGAGGAUAAAUGAAGCACACCCUGAGCAGUUCAAAUAUUCAAAACCUUAUUCAAAUAGAUGUUUUCACCCGGGUUUGACACGGCUCUUAGGCUGGCACAUUGGCUCCUCAGACCCCCCAUGGCACGGGGCAUGUAAUCAUCCUGAAAGUCUCUUUGGGUGUCUGCACCCUCAUAAAGCAGGAAAAUGGAUCGUGUGGCCCAGGAAGGGAAAAUGAAAGAAAAGGAGAAUGAAAUUACAGACCUGGCUGACUGCACAAAUCAUGCAUAUCAUGUUUUAUGGCUUGCCAGAAGAAUUCAACACCUGUGGAUCACCGUAGCUAUAAUUGUACACGAGUACACCGGGCUGGGAGUGGGGGCAGAGUUUGUGGUUUGUGUGUCACUGAAUAUGUGAGUGAGAGUGUGUGAGCCUCGUAGGUGUCUGUGGAUAUGCGAGUAUGUUUUUCUUGGCAUGGCCGAGCUUUAGAAACAGAGGGGAGAUGAUAAAAGAAAGUUACGGGAACGCCUGUUGUUCACUUCUCCGGUACAUCCUGGGUGAGCCACCCGCAGCCCACAGGGCGCGCUCGCAGAGGCUUCAUUUACCAUUGUAAUUACCCUGUUUAUUUACCCUACCUGCUUUUGGUGGUAAAACGGGGGCCAAUUCAUCAGAUUAGGACAAUUUGGCCUUGCUUUGGCUUUGCCAUUUACUUUAAUUAAAUGAGGCAAUCAGUGAAACAUAAAUCAAGAUCUGUGUGACCACUGGCUUUGUUUGAACCUGGACCUCUUUUACAAAGCUGACACACCCUCUGUUCAAACUUACAUUAGAUACAGCUGCUCUGCAGCUCCUCAGUAUGCAGAUUUACCUUUAAAAAAAGUGCAUUUGGGAUUUUUUUCAUGCAAACAUACUUUUUUAAAAAUCCUGUGCAUGUAUCGUUGAACUUAUUUCAGCUGUAAGUAUUUUUUUGACGCUUUAAAGGUAAAGUCACGUGCAUGAACGAAGGCUAAAAACUAAACGGGAUGACAGCACAGCAGAUCAAAAACUCUCCCCUCCCUCCUCUUCUCUCCUUUUUCUCCCUCCUCUCCACUGUGGAUGCUGAUGCUUGAGUCAAAUUGAUUACACCACUCCAUCUGCAUCACGACCGGCCUCCUCCUGUGUUUGCCGCCUCUGCCUACAGCACAGAGUUAGUGUACAAUUACAUAUAGUUUAAUAUAUCUGCCUGAGCACCUUUAAAUAAGCAUCACAAGUCCACAAGGUGAUUUGUCUUCCAGCCCCAUUACUCCAUUGUACAUCUUGAUAGCCAGGGAUCGCUCCUAGCUAUGUUUAAGCAUUAAAUAGUGUAUUAUUAUUUCACAUAAAUCACGCUGAGAUGUGAGGGGGGUAUUCAUAAAUUUUGCAUUUCUCACAGACAGUAUUUUAAAGCCUCUCUCCCUCUCUCUCUGCAGCUCUGAAUUUGGAGACUAAAGCAAUUCUGCUCCCUGCGCUUGAUAGUACAUUAAAGAAGGCAUAUCAGGGAGGUAUAUUCAAAACAACAUGUAAUGCAGUUUAGAUUAAGUUUGAGGCGCUCUAACACAUUCAUCAUGCACACUUUCCAUAAUAAGUACCCCUGUCUUUCUCGCUGAUGCAUCCACACACAUGCACCAUUACCACCAAGAGUACUGUAUUGUUAUUGUCAUGAAUAAUGGGGGGAAAUACUAAUAAAAGUCCAUUUAUCACAAUAUUUUCACUGCUAACUACAGCUACUGGAUCUCGUAUCUGUGCUACACGAUGCUCGGGGAAAAUUCAAUUUUAAGGUGAAUGUCUGCCAUCAGUAAGAGUGGCCCUUAACCCCUUACCCCAGCUCCCCACUCCCUCCUGAUAUUAGUCGUGUGUUUGUGCAAAACGUCUACAGAGGAAAUGACUUCACUCAGGAAACUGGAUGUCAGCUUUGCGCACGAGCGGGAGAGCUGACAGUGUUUUAGUCAGGCCGACAACACGUCCUUUUCUCGGCUCGCUCUCCACGCUCAUGGUAAAGCUGUAAAAAGUGACAAAGGAGGAAAUUGAACUUGGAGUUGUUAUGGUUACUCCAAGGACGCUUUGCAGAUUUGUUUCUAUUUCCCGUCUCCGGCUUUGUUUUCUGAUUGGUGGAGAGGUCGUCGGGUAAAACCAGGAGGUCACCGAAACUGUAAAGUGAUGUGUUUAGAGUGGAACUUUUCACUUUCUCCUGUUGCUUUUCAUUCAGACUUUGCCUGAUGUGUUUAUGUAAACUAAUAAGAGUACCUUGUGAUUGUCUGCAGUCGAAAAUAUUACCAAAACAUUACCUUGACCAUCCUGUGUUUCUUCAAGUCGAUGAAAAUCAAACCAAAAAUACAUCACUUCAAACAAUGCAAACGUCUGCUAUGAUUGACUUUAGCGAUUUCAUGCUCACAUUGCAACCGUACACCACAAUUAAACCUAAUUUUCACUUUUAAAACACGCUUAUCAUUUCCUACACAUUAUAAUUAUAUGACCCACUGGCCCGGGGGGGCUUUAGUGUUGCAGCAAAAUCAGUAAAAAAAAUCUUGUAAAAGUCCUCGCAAAUUGGAAAUUGACGAGAUGCCAGGACAGUAAGUUGAGGAUUGAGAGGAGGGGAGCGGAGGAGAAAGAAAAAAAAAUGUCUUUGAACUAGUUUUUGCUUGCAGAAAAAAAUAUCGCUCCUGGGUUGAUAUUCUUUCUGAAGUGUUUCAUGGCGAUGCGAAUUAAGAAGUAAAGUGCAGAGCCAAAUGAUUCAGUGAAUAGACGGCACACACCCACAGGUAUUCUGUUCACAUGACAUCACCCCUGUGUUAAAUUGACAACUUCAUAUUCUUUUAACUUUUUAGGUGCGAGCAAAGAAGAAUUUGAGAGAUAAAUCAACGAUAGAGAGCGGUGUUAUGGAGGACAUUUGUAUUAUGAAUGUGGAUUGAUUAAUAGUUAUUUGGUCGAUUUUUUUUCCCACUCUCUCUCUGUCUCUACCUCUCCCUUUAUUACUCAGAAGAAUGUGUCUUCUGACCUUGACAUGUGCAGGCUGGCUGCAUGUUUCCCUCACCUCAGCUCAUGAACUGGAAACUUUGCUCCUGUCAUCCCUCUAUCUCUUUCUGUCUCUGUCUUGUGAUCACUCUGCCUCCUCAGCUUACACACAGAGCGCACACAGAGCAGCAAUACCUGGGAGGAUAAAUGCUCGGUUAAAUUGAAUAAACAUAAUCCAGACAUGCUCCAUUCCUGCCUGUCUGUCAGGGAGAACUUACUCAGGGGUCCCUGAUUCCAUCAGCCGAGGAGGCGCACAAACAAACGCAAAAGAUUAGAUGUCAGCUGAAAGGCCGGUGUUAGAAAAAGGAUUAUUCACUUCUGUUGUGAUAAAGAAAAUUUUCAUCAAACAUCUGAUAAUCUGUGAUUUUACUGAGCCGGUUUUAUUGCUUCCUUUGUUAUCUUGUGAUGACAGAUAGCUUACGUUCACACAAGUGUUUCAUCUGUUUCUGUUUGCUUCUGCUCCAGAGAAAGGCAAAUACAACACAGUCAGAGCUCAAAAGUGCAAGUACAUCACCCAACUUCAGCCCUGCAUCUUUUUUUUUUUUUUUUUGGCAGCUCUCUGCGUGUUUGGCGAAUGUCUAAAAAAAUUGCAUAAACAUACAAAUUAAAGAGUAACCCCCUCCAUCUUUGUUCAUGCUCCCUGCGUUGCCAUGUCCUCUUAUGUUAAAACAAAGCAUGUGCCUGUCAAUCAUAUAACCAUAGGCGCUCUGGGUGGGGCUGGAUCGCGCUCUUUUGAAGUGAACCUGUCAUGGGAAAUCUGCAUCACUGGGGCUCACUUCAAUCACAAGCACAAGAUUAAUUGUUCGUGGUGCACCACUUCAAACACCUUUAACCAUUACGCAUUACGGGAUGAACCUUUGCAAGGCCUUUCGUCACCUAUAUAUACUCACACCUGCACCCACACACACGUUAAACAAGGAGGGUAAAUUCCUGUCUGUCUAUAAAAACACACACAUGCAGACACAUACAUCCUUAUGCUUCCUAAAACACAAAAAGUUCGCAAAUAUUUACAUACGCAGCUGCACAGAGGUAUAUUUCAAGAUGUAUAAAUUGACAAUUUAAUGUGCAUUGACAAGUUACACCCCCUCUGCCCUCCAAAUACUAACACACACAUAUACACACAAACACACAAGCAUGCAAAGACUCCACACAGACUGCAGCAACACAACAUUAAGCGGUUUUCUCUUCUCUGUUAUCUCCAGCUUCCUUUUUGCCCUUUGGUUAAACAUUCUCUUGGCAUGCAUGAUCUCAUUUAACUUUGAUUUCCUCUUUUUCCAGGACGGCAUCCUCGGUGGUUCCAAUUUCCAGCCCAUUCCCCAAUUUUCAACCCCAAUGACAGACAACACAUGCUUGAAUGGCUGUUCGGCUAAAGGAGGGAGUUGGUAAGUGAUGAUUUUAAAUGCUGUUUAAGAUAAAAAGGGGAGUUUAGAGCAGAUAAGGGUUCGUAUGAGUUAGUGAGCAGGAAGCUGGGAGAUGUUGCUGCUCUGAAUGUGCCAAUUCAGAAGCUGCUCUCCACCGAUUGUGAUUUAUGUCACUGAGCUUUAGGAAACACUGCUGCAGAUUACAGGCAGGAGAAGUGAACGUUUGACUUCUCUGAAACAGUAAUUAUUCUCAUACUGUACGCAUUUACAAAGAGCUCGUGAUUUUUUAUCCAUAAACAAUAACAAAAUAAAUGUCAAGUAAGUCUUUUGCCUUCAUUUAUCAUUCUGCAUAUUUAUACUCUUACUUUGAAGUCGUCUCACAUGACUUUUUGUACAUAAACUUUUAAUUAACUGUUUAUAUUUGUAUUGUUUUCUUAUAAUAAUAUUGUUUCUUAACAGUAGGAGUUCGGUUGUUUUCUUGUUGAGUGUUUUUGAGUUUUUCUAGGUACUUUUUUCUGAACUGAAAAUCUUAAAAGAAUUGCUUGAAUUUAAAAACUGAUUAAACACCAACUAAAACUCUGAUUCUGAUUAUUAUUUUAAUUAUAAAUAAAGUUUUUUUGUUCUUUAAACUAAACCCGUAAAAUAUAUUUAUUAAAAUCACUGUUUGUAAAUCAAAUGAAUUAAAAAAAUUCCUUGUCUUGAGUGUUUUCUAAAAACUUUUUUACUCGUCCAACAUGUUUAAAUUUUACUUUUCUAUUGGCUUUGUGAAUUAUUUAUUUUGACCUCCUUAUGCAAAAAUCAGAGUAAAUAAACAAGCUUUAGGUAAAAAAGUGUAAAAUAUAAUAAUUUCUUCAGGGCUGUUAAUUAACAUGGAAGUACUUCUGUUUUUAACUUCUAUGUUAAACAUGAUUUUGCGUAUUUAAUCUCAGGUGUCACACAUUUCCAAAGUUUUGUAUUUCUGUAGUUCUUUCUUUAAAGUUUUUCCCUUUACAACAGCUGUGUUUUCCUCUUGUAAACAUAAAUAAAGUUCCUUCUUCCUCUGUUCAAGUUCCCAAAAAUAAAACUUUGAAUCCAGAACGAUAAAAUCCAACAUUUGAGAAUCAUUAAAAAUAAUGUCUGUGGUGAUGGCAUCUGACACAAACACAAUGUUGACUUAAUUUGCUCCUGAUUAACCCCUCGACUGUGAACACUGUGUCCAGCAUGAAGGACUUUUUUGUUGUUUGGAAAAAGCCGCUCAUUGUCGGGCUUUAAGUGGUUUGUGUAAUCCGCUAUAACUAAUACCAUGAAGGCAGAGGAUUCUGAAAAUCUGUUUUCAGCACAUUUUGAGUAGGAGCGGACCUGGGAACUCUCUCUCUCUCUCUCCCCUCUCCCUCUCUCUCUCUCUAUGUCUCUCCCUCUCUCGCUCCCUAACUCUGUCAUGAAACAGAGCACCCCAUUUCCAUAUCAAUCGGAUUAGUUCCAAGACCAGGGAAGUAGGAGUAAUGUAAGUAAGCGUACAAAUUUAAAUAUAGGACAUCAAAAACAUUGUUAGGCAUUCAUUUAUUUUUGCGGCAGCCCCGGCUCUCUGUGUCUCUCUCUGUGAAGAUGAGAUGAAAAUGCAUCUCUUCAAAUUGACUUUCAUUUUCAUGUGAAAGGUGCUGAACACCGCAGUAUUUCAACAUUUCAUGUGCGCGCCACGGCGUCCCGCUGUUCUUGUGUGCUUAACCUCGUUUGUGGGAAUGAAUAUGUCACAUCAAGCAAUACACUUGUUCUGAAUGCAACAUCAAAACAAUUUCAGGUGGGCAGCGUUCACACAGGCGGCACAAACAGGCUGCAACACGCUGGACUCCUGGAUGCUCUGAUACUGAUGCCAGCUGGCAGCCAAAAGUUAUGCUUUGACAUACAAUUCAGUGCACUGCUACAUAUGUAUCAGAGGAUGUACAUGGUCUGGGAGUUUGAUGCAAUGCAUGAAAAUAAAAUGCAAAACUUCACAAACCCCUCAGUAACCAGUUAAGUUUUUCAUUUAAAUUGUUUUAUAUUGCAGAGUUUAUGAUUUAGAGUUCAAAUUUAAAACUUUUUGCUAAAUUUUACAUAUUUUCCAGAACUUGAAGGGACCACUUAAAUUAGCUUUUUUUUGCAUCAAGACUUUUUGAAUUUGUCAGGAACUUCUAUUUCAACAAAAUAAAUAAAUUGAUAAUAAAAUGCUAAUGGUACUUGUUGUGUUAGGGUCGCUGUUGACCAGGUUAGAUCAAUAUCUAAUAAUCAGAUCAAAAAUCAAAAUCAUAAGUGCACUGUCAGGCACCACACUGACAGUCAGAUCCUCUUCCAAUCAUGUGAGAUUUAGGAAAUUCUCAUUUUGCCAUGUUUCCCUGCACAAAAAGCAACGUCAGGCAUGUCCAGACAUGUAAGAUCAAUUCAGUAUAGAUGUCUGUAUGAGGGGUAUACUGACAAAGCAAAGCCCAGGGUACCACAACAAAAAUACAAGCAAUAUUAACCUAGAGAUGAGAACCAAAUUGGAUGAUAGAGAAUUGAUUUUAGUGUAAUUUACAGCUGAUUUAAGAACAUGGGUCAAAACAUUAACAUUAACAUGGUGGGUAGGUAGUAAAAGCUAAACAGGAGGAAGGUUAAAGACUUUUUUGUGUAUUUUUUUUUUGUUACAUGGGGGAAAAAAAUAGCGGGUUCAAAGUAAUUAGAAGGUAAAACAAACAUUUAGAUUUUCUGUAUUCUUAAAAUUAAACAUCAGAUUUUCUGUUCGUGUUGAAAAUUCGUUCUCUUGUGCUCCGAAAGUUUAUUUUGAAAAGCAGCUCCAGAGAUAGUGAGGUUAGUGUGUGUUUAUGUGUAUGUGUGUGUAAGUCACAGAGAGAUUAUUCAGCAGUCUGCGACUUGCUGACUGAUCUGACCAGCCUGUCCGGAUAAACAGACAGAUAGACGGAUGCCUGUCUGCGCUUCCUCAGCCCUUUAUGACUUAGCCCGUCUCACUGUAAUUGAAAAACUAGCUCCACUGUGUUGUCUUGGGAUUUUUCUCUCUAUAAUGCAGCUUCAAAACAGGAAAACCAAUAGUGGGAAUAGACCCCCGAAUGUAAUUAAUUUUGUGGGGGCGGGGGGUAAAAAGGAGGGGUGGAUAGGGGGGGAACUAUUAUUGCAGGAGGAAGAAUUCUAAUCAGUUGCAGAUUCCUUCCUGUUUGGUUAGCGUGACCGUGGCCAAUUACCAGUGAACUCUGUGUUACAGUUUCACUUCCUGUGCUACCCAGAGAACGGACUGAGGCCGGCGCUGCAGAGCUCCGGCAGGACGGAGGGAGACGCAGGAGAGAGAGAAAGAGAGAGAGAGAAAAACGACAAAGCAAGACACAAGAAGAUGAGACUUAAGGAAAGUAAACAAAGCCCAGGAAGGGGGAAGAAAAAGCAGAAGAAGGGGAGGGUGAAAUCUCGAGCCAGAUCUAAGGUGCACAGACAUAAAGGCACAUACGUUCUUUAUCCGGCUAAUAUAGAACAUGACAUGUGGUUUACAGAGGAAAUGAAAGGAUUUUGGACCUGACUUCUUGCUGGUCGAGCUGUUUUCAGGUAAAGCCUCAAACUGUGGAGCAACAGACCAAAAACUCCAGAGACAAACGCAGCAGUCCAUAACUUAAUUGUUGUUGUGAUAUUAUCGAAAGACACAAUUUGGCGUCGCUGUUUUCCCUUAAAUUGAAUUAAACCAUCCAGUUAGACAGCUGAACGACAAAUGCUGGGGAAAAGCUGGAUUUGCAUAAAGUGUGUUUUUUUUCCAGCGUGUAGAUGUAACUCAAUCUGCUAUGGUACUUCCUGUGAAAUUCUCCAUGCUUAUUACAGCAGAUUCUGCAUUUGCUAAAGGCUUUCCAAAGCGGUAGUGUACAACACAACAUUAUAACAACAUGC
RNAcentral lists this long non-coding RNA (15489 nucleotides) under Xyrichtys novacula (pearly razorfish). The record is from RNAcentral. Lineage: Eukaryota; Metazoa; Chordata; Actinopteri; Labriformes; Labridae.